Molecule: long non-coding RNA, 166 nt
Organism: Sinocyclocheilus rhinocerous
Lineage: Eukaryota; Metazoa; Chordata; Actinopteri; Cypriniformes; Cyprinidae
Exons: 3
Source: RefSeq, a predicted model, not a curated record
CCUAACGAUAGUAAAGGAGGUGGCUAAUCAUGCGAAUGAAAUCAUAAGACACGAGGAUAACAGCCAGAAGCUGUACGAGGUUCAGUGCCGCCUGACUGGGAAUCAUGUGAUCGUCCAACCAGGAAGGGUUUUGUUAAAAGAAGGGAUCUUGAUGAAGCGCUCCAGG